GCGGGCGUCGUAUAAUGGCUAUUAUAUUUCCCUUCCAAGGAAAUGAUGUGGGUUCGAUUCCCAUCGCCCGCU
Molecule: transfer RNA, 72 nt
Filed under: Candidatus Nealsonbacteria bacterium CG23_combo_of_CG06-09_8_20_14_all_37_18
Lineage: Bacteria; Candidatus Nealsoniibacteriota
Description: tRNA-Gly
Rfam family: tRNA
About the family: Transfer RNA (tRNA) molecules are approximately 80 nucleotides in length. Their secondary structure includes four short double-helical elements and three loops (D, anti-codon, and T loops).
Source: RNAcentral